This 377-nucleotide ribosomal RNA is filed under the name uncultured eukaryote. Its description in RNAcentral is "partial 18S ribosomal RNA". It matches the Rfam family "Eukaryotic small subunit ribosomal RNA", at positions 592 to 976 of the family's 1831-position model. The record is from RNAcentral.
CAAUAGCGUAUAUUUAAGUUGCUGCAGUUAAAAAGCUCGUAGUUGGAUUUCGGGUGGGAAUGGCCGGUCCGCCGUUUCGGUGUGCACUUGCUACGCCCACCUUGCUGCCGGGGACGUGCUCUUGAGUUCACGCUCGGGACACGGAGUCGGCGAGGUUACUUUGAGUAAAUUAGAGUGUUCAAAGCAGGCCUACGCUCUGAAUACAUUAGCAUGGAAUAACACGAUAGGACUCUGGCCUAUCUUGUUGGUCUGUAGGACCGGAGUAAUGAUUAAGAGGGACAGUCGGGGGCAUUCGUAUUUCAUUGUCAGAGGUGAAAUUCUUGGAUUUACGGAAGACGAACUUCUGCGAAAGCAUUUGCCAAGGAUGUUUUCAUUAA